This is a long non-coding RNA of Oncorhynchus tshawytscha (Chinook salmon), 857 nucleotides long. The record is from Ensembl. NCBI's taxonomy places the organism in Eukaryota, Metazoa, Chordata, Actinopteri, Salmoniformes, Salmonidae.
ACAUACAUACAUGUUACAUACAUACAGGUUACAUACAUACAGGUUACAUACAUACAGGUUACAUACAUACAUGUUACAUACUUACAGGUUACAUACAUACAGGUUACAUACAGGUUACAUACAUACAGGUCACAUACAUACAGGUCACAUACAUACAGGUUACAUACAUACAGGUUACAUACAGGUUACAUACAUACAGGUUACAUACAUACAGGUUACAUACAGGUUACAUACAUACAGGUUACAUACAGGUUACAUACAUACAGGUUACAUACAGGUUACAUACAUACAGGUUACAUACAUACAGGUUACAUACAGGUUACAUACAUACAUGUUACAUACAUACAGGUUACAUACAUACAGGUUACAUACAGGUUACAUACAGGUUACAUACAUACAGGUUACAUACAUACAGGUUACAUACAUACAGGUUACAUACAGGUUACAUACAUACAGGUUACAUACAUACAGGUUACAUACAUACAGGUUACAUACAUGUUACAUAUAGGUUACAUAAAUACAGGUUACAUACAUACAGGUUACAUACAUACAGGUUACAUACAGGUUACAUACAUACAGGUUACAUACAUACAGGUUACAUACAGGUUACAUACAUGUUACAUACAUACAUGUUACAUACAUACAGGUUACAUACAUACAGGUUACAUACAUACAGGUUACAUACAGGUUACAUACAUACAGGUUACAUACAGGUUACAUACAGGUUACAUACAUACCGGUUACAUACAGGUUACAUACAUACAGGUUACAUACAGGUUACAUACAGGUUACAUACAUGUUACAUACAUACAGGUUACAUACAUACAGGUUACAUACAUACAGGUUACAUACAUACA